This is a non-coding RNA of Meleagris gallopavo (turkey), 3131 nucleotides long. NCBI's taxonomy places the organism in Eukaryota, Metazoa, Chordata, Aves, Galliformes, Phasianidae. The record is from RefSeq and is a predicted model, not a curated record.
CACCAACAAAAUUAAAACACAACCGACCAAGCAAGAAGUCUUGCAGCUAUAGCUUGGGGAGGAAUUUGGCUACAGGACAACUCCAGCAUUGGUCUCAAACUGGGAUGGGGGGUACCACUACUCAUGGGAGUUACUGGUGGUAUGACUUUUGCAGAUGUCCACAAGAAUUGAAGAUCCACGACUAUAAACAUAGGAUGCCUCAAAUAUUUUUACAACAGUGAUGGUUCACAGAGUCCUUGCAAGGGCCAUCUGAUGAAACUCUGAAUGAUCUCAGCUCAGGUAAAAUUCACUUUCAUCAUCAUUUCUGUACUGUGCAUGGAGUUUUUAUAGAAAAAGUUCUUUCAUGUUUGAAAAUCUAAUUUAAGAAUUACAGAAACACACUUCAAAAAGAGCAGAUUGUUAGUUAUGCUUAGGAGACCAAAUCUGCAGAAGGUCGAGAGAUGAUGUUGGUUGUUGGGAACUAAGAGAAAAGAGAGAAAGGAAAAGCUUAGAUAUGGCACAAAGAGGGCAAAACAGCACAGUGCAGGGAAAAAAUUAACAAAUUGUUUAGGAAAAUGCUUUCUUGAAGGAGGAAAGUCAUCACACACAUUGAUUUGUGUGUCAGUAAUCUUUAUAAGGUGCUAUGGAAGAAAACAGGUACAAAUUUUUAUGUAACUACUACUUUAAGAGUGGUUAACAAAGAAACAUGAAGUGAUUGAUCUAGCUUGAGGAGUUCCUAUUCUCACUCUAUAUUGUUUCAGAUUCUACUUUAAACCCAAUGCAUCCUCAGUAAAUCUUGUUCCUUGAGUUAGCUGUUUAAUUACAGCACUGCUUCAGCAGUUUUUUACUGGCCUAAUCACAUGAGAUAAUCAUUUAACUGCCUCACAGAGAGAAAGAGAAGUGUCUCUGAAGACCUCUGAGAAUACGUCUGCUCUUCAGCUGAACGUGCACAUAACUGGUGCUGGGGAGCUCCUUCUGGGAAGUCUUUCUGGAAACCACAGAUCAAAGUUGAGUGGAUUGCCAUGGUGAUUUGUAAUACCCAUCGCUCCAUAUCAGGCCCUUUUUAGCAAGCACGAGUGACUGCGGGUAAGCAGCCUGACAACUUUCAGGUUGAUACAGGAGAUAACUAAAGAAUUCAGAAACACUCAGGGUGUGAGUGUCCCAGAAAGCACAUAGGCAGGGUUGUCUCUGGAGCUUGGAUGAGCCUGGGUGCUGUGUCUCACUUUAUCAUCCUGCUGUUGUUCAGCUCUUAAAUAUAAGGCACAUCCAUAAGCAAUUAACUGUAAUUCUGUUGUAUGUACCUAAGCUCUGGAUCAUUUGUCUAUCAUCUCCAAGAACAUCAGUCAGAAGAUAGAACAGGACUGAGGUGAUUUUAACACUGUUCUUACAAUAGCAAGUAUAGAAAAAGGUAACUUCUUUGCAGAAAAAAAUGACCUAAACUUGCAUUGUAAUGGAAAAGGGAAAAAAUAACGAAAGAAAGCCACACUAUACAAAUAUAUUAAUAUAUUUAUAUAUUAUAUUCCAGAACUGAAACAGGUUAAUUGAUUUAGUAAAUUAGCUUACUGAUUUGCAGUACUAGUCUCCUGGCUAUGAACCGUAAGGCCAGAUGGUUAUGAGUGUACAGCUUAUCGCUCAUUCCAAGAGCAUUUUUAGACAAUUCAAUAGAUAUGGAUCUAAUAGAUAUUAGAUAUUAUUCCAUUAAAUGUUUAAAUAAAUGAUCAUGAUCACUAAUCCAAGUGAAUCUGGUAAAUUUGACUUUUCUUUGAAUUAAGUUAAUGCAUCUGUGUAAAUAUUGCAGGAUUACUCACUAAUACUGUGAACAGCUGAAAUGGAAAGCUGCAGUCUUCACAGUGCUUUUAUCCUACAUGGAUCACUGCUGUGUCAGUGUUAAGUCUAUGGACAGCCUAAGUGCUAGUCUUGAGUGAUGCUACUCCAACUACCCAUUAUGAUUCACUCGGUCCUUCAAGUUGUUUGGUACAGCUUUUGGAGUGCAAAACAUCUCACAUCUAUCAGAUCAGAGCAACAAAGUCAAUUGAAACUCAUCCCUUUAGUAAAGAAGGUGUUUUAUCUUCUGACUACUCAGGCAGUAGAAUAGAAGCUGCAGAAAACUCAGCAGUUUUCUUCCAGAACCACAGUGGAGCUGGAAAAUCUAUCUGCAUUAGAAGUUACUGUAUAAUUAGAAAAGAUAAUGACUUUAAAAUUAGUUUUUAUUAAUAGAAUUAAGCCACAUUAAGUCAUAAAAGGUGUUCAUAAAUAUGUUAAUAGAAUGUGUGGUAUUAAUGAAAAACAUUCUGUAAAGUCUGAAUAAUUUAAGAGCUAGAUAUUACACAUUUAAUUAAAAUUAAAUAUUAAAAUUAUUAAUUAUUGCAGCUAAAAUGGGUGUUGCCAGUAGGCAUCACAUCCUGUCUGGUCAAUAAAUAGAUGUCAUUAUUAAAUAUACAUAGAUAAUAAUAAAAUUUAGUUAAUAAGUAAGGAAUUCAGAGCAUUUUGACUGUUUCAUCAAAUGCCCCUCAGAAAGCUGUUCCCAGCAGGUGAUGUGUUGGCAGUUCUCACUUCAGAUCACAGCGGGAUCUUAAGCAAAAUACAGAACUUGGUUCAAAUGCAUCCUUAUUUACAAUGUUCAUGCAUAAAUAUUCCUAUCCUGCUAUUGUUAGAAGCUGUUGAAUUAAUUUUGUCUCUCUUCAGCUACCUCUUUUCAGACUCAAGGCCACUGGGCACUGAAGGGUCAGCCCUAUGACCAGGCUUGCUGUUGGGAUUAUUGUGACAUCUGACAUCUUCUGGACGCUGAGACCAUUUUCUCUGAAAACUGUCUAAUGAGAUGGAAGUGAAUGAAUAAGUGAAUGCAGUAUUGUAAUGUUACUCUCCUAAUGAGCAAACACCAAGUACGUGCUGUCAGAAUGAACUCAGAUGUUUAAAAUUCUGAACUGCAUAUGUGUUGCUGUAGCUAAAAAAAUGUAAUAUUCUCCAUGGUCACGUUUGCUAAACAUGAGUUGGAGAGUGACAGUUAGCAUAUACUGUCAAAUAAUAAUAAAAAAAGCAUUUUAUUUUCUGAAUGAUUUCUUCCAAGCAAGGAGUAACGAGCUGUGAGAAGUCUGGCAGGUUUCACAAGCUCCCAUAGCUUCUCCCUGCUGUAGGGCCACAAACACCGCAGG